Molecule: long non-coding RNA, 2337 nt
Organism: Rhodamnia argentea
Lineage: Eukaryota; Viridiplantae; Streptophyta; Magnoliopsida; Myrtales; Myrtaceae
Exons: 2
Source: RefSeq, a predicted model, not a curated record
UUCCUACAUCCGUAGAAAAUCUCGUCUCUUUGAAAGAAAUGAAUUUAAGUUAUUGCAAGGAACUGUCAAUCCUUCCAUCUAGCAUUUAUCGGUUGGGACAGCUUGUAACACUACGGCUUGAACGGUGCUUAAAACUAACCAAGUUUCCAACGAAAGAGGAGGAUUUAAGCGAUCACCAUAUGAAGAUGGGAUUGCCUAAGUUACGGCUUUUGGAACUUUAAGAAUGCAAUCUAUCAGAGGCAGAUUUCCUGGAGAAUCCUUCAUGCUUUCCCUCCUUAAAUUCUUUAUAUUUGCAGGGAAACAAUUUUGCUAGCCUUCCUUCAUGCAGACAUCUAUAUAAUCUGGAAUCUUUGAGACUUAACUGGUGCGAUCAACUACAAGAGAUCCUCGGGAUUCCAGAGCAAUUGGGAUCGCUAUGGCAAUUGGUUGCGAAUCUCUAAGUAAAAUUCCCUUCGACAUAGGUUAAGUUAACCAUAUAAACUUAAGUUCAUGUCAUGAACUGGUCUCCAAUGGGUCAGCCAUCUAAGAUUUGUUCAAGCUUGAGGUUAGACUCUCUCUCUCUCUCUCUCUCAUAAAUUUGGAGUCGUGUGAACAUGUAGGCUGCAUCGAGUUUUUGUAUACUGCAGAAGGCUGAAGAUCCUAGAUUGUCGGGCUAAUUAAGAAAAGCAAACAUACAGAAAGUGAUUCUGGUGGUUGCUAUAAGGCAACGCAAAGGAUAUUCGCUCUAUUUAUACAACUCUAGUACGUUCUGGAGUAACAAGCAUCAUCCAAUUAAACCUUCAAUCAAUACAUGCUCAUCCAUUUACAAAAUUUUCAACAACACGUGUCUUGUUUCCACCAAUUAAGUACCAGAAAUUUUUGUAAUGAGAUUGCUAACUGUAGCUAAACUCUAGGACUACCCACUUAACUCAUUGUAACUCCUCUUUUUAGGUGCCAAUUUGAAAAAAUGUCUAACUACAUCUUUGACAGCAUGCUCUUCCUGGAAAUAGAUGUAUUGAUGUUACUCUACCUGGAGGAGAGAUGCCAGAGUGGUUGCUCCCUAACAGUGAUGGCCAUAUAUCCUUCGUGGCUUCAAAGGACUUGUUGAAGAAGUUUCUGGGAUUAGCUUUCUGUGUUGUAUUCCGAGCAAAAGAUGGAACAGACAGUUUCAGCUUUCAGUUGAAUUCAUCCAUUAAUAGCAGCAAAUGGACGAGCAGCGGUUUCAGUUGUUCCAUCUCGGAUUCGGAUCAUGCGUAUCUUCAUUAUAUGCCCCAUCAUGGUUUCAGUGGCAAGAAGUAAAGGCUUUUGGUCCAAAUGACUGGAUAUGUUUCCAGUUCACCACUCGAGCAUCAGCUCAUGGAAUUGUGAAAAAAUGUGGAUUUCGACUAUUGUGGAAGCCACUGGAGAAUGAUUUGGAGGAUUUCCUUCAACAUAAUUAGUUGCUGGAUCCAGCUUUACUCUACGAGGUUCGGCAUGAAGAGAGUCAAACGAGCAUGGAGGAAGAAAGUUCGAGUGAGACAAAAGAGUUACAAGAUAGCAAAACUAGGGCAGAGGAAGAUAGUUCAAGCAAAUUGGUCCACACAGAAUCGAACAUGGCUGACUUCUCAAUUGAGAAGCUUUGCUAUUCCCUAAUUCAUCCUGAUUACCGAAAUGUUCGUCCUAGAGGAGACAUGCCAAAGGAGUUCGUCCUUGUUGAAGAUGGUACCGUAUCUUUCAAGGUUUCAUAAAACUGGUAUGACAAGUUCCUAGGAUUGGCUCUUUGUGCAGUUUUCGGUGUAGAAAAUGGGAAAAAGGAAGUUUCUUUUGACAUCGUGCCAUAUGUUGACGGCCAAAAGCGGAAUGGGCUAUCAGAAACUCUUGGUUCAUUUGAUUCGGAUCACAUGUGGAUUCAGUAUGUCAAAUCAAAUGUGUCGUGGAGAUUGCUGGAGGGAGGAGUUGAUUUUUGUCAAUUUAACGAGAGAUAUGUACAAUUCAGCCUUCGACUUGAAGUAUCAGGUGGAACGAUGAAAAAGUUGGGAUAUGUGAUAAGAUGCAGGCAACUAGAGGAUGAUUUGAAGGAUGUUCUCAAAGAUAAUCAAUCAGUGAAUUUAGCUUCACUCUGUGAAGAUUCUCAUGGACCGGUAGAUUCGUGGUUGGAGAUUCCAUCUGGUUCUAGACGUCGUCUUCCAAGAGAAUACUUACGCAAAUGUGACAUGCAUAUAGAGGAAUUGGAAGCCAAUGACAGCGAAACAGAUCAAACGGGGAGUGGGGAGUAUAGUAGUGAAACAGAUUAAAUGAACAUUUUAUGGGGGUCUAGUUUCGUUGGAUAGCUUCGUCAACACUUGAGGGAAGAAGGUUACUACUUCCUUUUUAUUAUUA